UUUUUUGUGACUCUGCAAUUCUAGAGUUAGGAGGAGAAACCAAGGUUGAUAUGAAAUGACAAAAAUACCCCUAUGUACAGCCUCUGCAUGUAAUCAUUGCAUAGAGCAGCCCAAUAAAAUAAAAUAUGAUCAGAACCACACACACAAAAAAAGGUCAAUGCUGAAUUAAAAAAAUGAAGAAAAGACUCCAUGCCAGCAGCUCAUCCACGACCACUCCGGUGCCAGCUCCAUGCUCCGUGGCGAGCUUCGUGCCCACGGCCACCUCACAGCUGUAGACAUCACCGGUGGGCGUUCAUACAGAGACCAGCCCACCCGACGUGGCUCUCACAGAUGCAGAUCCAGCUUCCGUGGCUUUGAAUCCCAGUGCCGGCCAGCUUCACGACGCGAUUGAAGCUCCUACCACCGCUGCUGCCUAGCUUCACUCCAUGGCUUCAUGCACCACACAGCUAGGUCGGCAGAUCUGCUGCAUUGUGCUGGGCGCAUGGCGCCGCCAGCCAUCCACACGUGGGUGAGGAGUGCUGGAUGGUGAAGGGGCCUAUAGAGAGGAGCUGGACGGGGAGGUGAUCUGGAUCUGUAUAGGGACCCUUGGGCGGAUGGAAGUAGCAGCAGACUCGAACUUUCAAGCAUGAGGGAAGGGAAAGGUGCACUGGUGCAGUCAAUUCUUCUGGAGAAGUUGUUUUUUUUUUAAAAAAAAUAUGGUUGAGUCCCCACACAGGACAGGUUACUAGCUAGUAGCAGCCUAGCACAUUGGGUUCGUAGCUACCUGUACUACCAAUUGUUGUGUUUGUUUUGGGACAUUUUUUGAAUCCUACAAUAGCGCUUCUUUUGGGGGCAGAGGGAGUACUGCACAUGUACUUCAGUCAUUUGGUGAUUUUAGGAAGACUAGUAUCAUGGAACUCUAUUUGAAUCAAUCAUAUGUUGUAUGAACACUCAAACCCUGUAUUGACAUCUCUCUGUACAGUGUAUUGGGAUGCUAGUGGGUACCCAAUGGUUCUAGGCCUAUUUUUUGGUUCUUUCUAUACCACCGUUUUUUUUUUAAAUCUGGAUUGAUUCGAUUAAAUGAGUUUUGAGACAAGCCAUCCUAAUCAACAGUAUAAAUCUGGUAUUUAUCACUUUCCUCCAAUCCUCCUAUUGUACAUUUAUCAGAUUAUUAUGUGUCUAUCAUAAGAAGCUCAAACACUUUGCUAACUUGGAAAUGCACAGACCUUGUGCUCUUAUGUAUUCUGAGUGUGCAGUAACCCAUUAUUAACAUAACAAACUUUUGCCAGGCUGCAAAAAGUGCCGGAGUGCCUGUUAUCAUGGACGCUGGUGGAAUGGAUGCCCCUGUGCCUGGAGAACUACUCAGUCUAGUGGAUAUUUUCAGUCCAAAUGAAACAGAGCUAGCACGUUUGACUGGGAUGCCUACUGAGACGUUUGAACAGAUCAGCCAGGCUGCAGGAGAAUGCCAUAAAAUGGUGAGAUAUCUAAAUUGGAUUUCCUUUAUAACGUUCACAAUAUUUCCUCCCUGUUCUACUUUAUUAGCUUAUAAUUCAACUGACUUCUGCAUUGCUUUGGGUUAACCAUGAUUGUGUGUUUGGAUAUUAUUGUUUGACGCAAUUCCAUCAAUGAUAUUGCAUAGUGAUGUUAUCUGGUAAUAAAUCUACUAUAAGGAACAUGGCCAUCCUUUUGUUAACCUUAUGCAUGUUUUGAUGUACAUGCAGUUGGACUGGUACCAUAUCUCCUUUCUUUUUUAGUUCUUGUUGUAUGCAUGUUUGCAAGGGUGUCAGUUGUAAUCUGGAUGAAUGAAACUGCAAGGUAGGCUGUGAACAUAUAUAGGGAUCCCCUGUGAAUCUGUAUUUAAUAUCUUUAGUUAUUUUCUGGAACUAGUGAACAUGCACGUGCGGCACGCACGUGUAAAUGAAAAUAAUUUUUUAAACAAUUGUAACCAUAUCAUAAAAUAGAAAAUCAAUAUGAAUAAGUGGAUGCCUUCAUACAUUCUACUGUAAAUUCAUGAGUCAUAAUAUCACCUUCACAAAUAAAAGAACAGAAGUUUUCUUAAAGAGUAAGGAACAAGAGAAUGAAGGGGGAGUUUACAGGUGUGGUAGCAUGCAGCCCGUUGAUGUGCCAGAUAACAAAUUCAAUUCUUUUCUUAGAAAAUGGAGGAUCCUAAUGGUUCAGUUUUCUACAAACCUUACAGAAAACUUGCAACAAUGUUUAAAAUAUGUACAUCGCCUGCAGCCUAAUUAAAAAAUAUUGCUGAAAUAAAAUAAUAAGAUUAGGUGGCCCACCUCAAGAUACAUUGCAAAGGUCAUGUGAGAACUCAGAAGCUGCGGCUAGGAUUAAAUACCUUGGAGGCAGUUAGUUACAAAAUGUGCAUAUUGAUUCUAUGGUCCAGUGGUAGCGUUCGGUUGGGAUGUCAACAUCUUCUCUAUGUAAAGCAGUAAGAUCGAUGACACUUCUUGUCACAUGGGAGCUUUGGAAAGAGUGAAAUGCAAGGAUAUUCGAGCACCAAUACAAAUCACCGACAGUGCUGAUUUCAAAGAUCAAGGAGGAGGCUCAACUUUGGUGUAGUGCGGGAGCCAAGCGAUUACGAGAAAUUUUGCCUAUGGUUUAGGCUGUUGCCUCUUUUGCCUUGAGGGCCUAAAUCCCUCAUUUGGGACUUUUGGUUUGUUUGUUUACGGUUUUUUCGCUUGUACUUUGUCUGUUUCCUCUUCUAUAUUAAUAUAUUUUCCUAGCAUUUUCUGCCAGCAUUUUUCGAAAAAAAUAUUCAUUGACAACUGAAUCACAACUGAUUCAAUCUUAUUAUUAACAGUGCCCUUACCAAUCUCAAACUCAAACUCAUUAAAAAAAAUAGAAAAAGGUCCAAAUGUACUACAUAUUGCUGAAUCAUUGCCUCCAGUCUUGCCAUAAAUAGGUAAGCACAUUGCAAAUUCUUGCAGAAAAAUAUCAGUACACUCAGAAAGAUAUAGCCUGCUUGUUUUUAGUUUAGAUCUUAACAAAAUUGCUGAAUCAAAUAAAGACCAUCAAUAUAGAAUUCUGAAUAGCACCAGAUUUUCAUGCUUCAAGUGUUAGCCGCAGAAUACUCCAGUAAAUUCUGAGCAUAUUAGAAAAACACAGUAUUCAGUUGAAUAGAUGAGCAGCUACUAAAUAAAGUACGAUGUAGGCCAGCGACGUGACGCUGCAGGACGACCGGCACGAGGCUGUCCUCGUUGCCCUGCCACAGGUGCACGGGGCUGAAUUGGGAGAGAAAGAAGGAAGCUACCUUUGUCCACGACAUGUGAUGGGGAGGUGAGGAGCAGGUCGGCGGAAGUGAGCACGAGGGAGGCCAUGUCGAGCCAGCGCCCCAUGAGGAUGUGUCCCUACGCCUCGAGGCAGAGACGGGUGACCCCGGGGUGAGUGACCUCGAGCCCGCGUCGGCCUAGGCGAGCUCGGCGGUGAAGCGGACCACAGCCAGCAUCGUCUACUCCUCUGUCGUGUUCGCGAUGCAUCUUGUGUCGUUUCUUUGCUGUGCGUGAGCCAGAGCUGCCGAAGCUGUCGUGGCCGCCGUAGAUGUUGAAGGGAGGAGGGAAUCGGACGCGUGGGGCAGGAGGAUAAAACCCUAAAACCCGAUGUGGUACUAUAUGAUUGAUGGGAGGGACGAUGCGGGUACACGGGCGGGUAUAAAUUUUUUGCGUAAGAAAAAAACAAAGGGUAUCAGCGGAGCUAAGAGAGAAACACGCAUAAACGUUUACAAGUUUUCUGGCGGGUCCGCUUAUCAGACCAUGGUGGAUGAUUUAGAUGUGAUGGAUCUGAUUUUAAUGUAGAUCUAAGGGAUCUAAGGGAUAAGAAUGAAGGUGGGUAGAAAACAUCAGGAUAUAUGGUCAACAGUGUAAUUCAAAGGGAGUCAUUUUAUUGCCGCCUGUACUCUCGGGACCUGGUUUCAAUGACAUUAGUCUUUUCCACUUUAUUAUGCCAUUUGUGGAUGUGGUUAUUCGACCGAAUGCUUUCCUGUUCAUUGUUUUAUUGUGACUUGUUUAAAUCAAUUCUCUUCAUGACUCCAUAGGUGCACCUUUUUUUUUCUCUUUAAGCAUUCCAUCAUGAUCAUAAGUUUUUACAGGGAUUAUGUCCACCUGCAGAACCCGUGAAUGCUUUAGGAAGAUUAAGACGUCCCUUAAUCUUUUCCUUGUGCAGGGUGUGAGAGAAGUACUAGUUAAACUUGGAUCACAAGGAUCUGCUUUGUUUGUUGAGGGAGAGGAGCCAAUCAGGCAGCCGAUAAUUCCUGCCACAGAAGUUAUUGAUACCACGGGGGCUGGUGACACUUUCACCUCAGCAUUUGCUGUAGCUCUGGUUGAGGGGAAGCCUAAGGAGGAGUGCAUGAGAUUUGCUGGUACGAAAUCACGUCCUCUUCAAUAUUUGACGGAUUGGUUUCCUUACAUUUUGAUUUGAUAGCUUGUACUCUCUUGAAUUCCAGCUGCCGCCGCCUCUCUUUGUGUUCGUGUAAAGGGUGCUAUACCCAGCAUGCCUGACAGAAAAUCAGUAAUGAAGCUUCUGGAUUCUGCGAAAGUCGAAUAACCGCAGAAUGCGAUGAUCGUUCAAAGCUGUCCUCAUUCGUCGGCGAUAGGGUGAGCACCUUUGGGUACUCCUUGCCAUCACAUUCUCUGGUCUGGUGUACAUUUGGAAGCUUGCAGUGUGAUGAUAGUAUAUAUAUAUAUAUAUAUAUAUAUAUAUAUAUAUAUAUAUAUAUAUAUAUAUAUAUAUAUAUAUAUAUAUAUAUAUAUAUAUAUAUAUAUAUAUAUAUAUAUAUAUAUAUAUAUAUAUAUAUAUAUAUAUAUAUAGGAAAACAGGAGAAAACAGUACUGCUGCUUUUAAGCCCCUACUUUCUUUAAGAAAUGGAAACACUUAUUAGUCUUUUAUAGUGUUUCCUGUUGAGUCAUACCUGUACUAUUUUGACGGAAUUCCCACGCCCUGAAUCUCUGCUGUUGGCGACCUCAUUAAACCGGGCAAAAUUCUGCGCCCUGUGCAUGGGAUCCUGUCAGUUUCAGUAUCCAUUUGUUGGGGAAACACUGCUCGUGCAGCAGGAGGGUUAGUGAGACGUCGUUUUCCACCUCCAAAUCUAACCAUCCUUUUUUUUUUUCUAUCAUUUAUGAUUGCAGGGUACGCGGAAUUCGUGGGAUCGAUCCAUCAAGUGUCGCUACGCCUUCACGUGCUCCUCCCCCAAAUAAUGCGAUGGUCUCCAUUCCCUCCGAUCUCCUCCAAGGCGGAGGAAACGCAUUUUCCGGUGCCGCCCGGAUGAAAAAUCCCCCCACACACAAAAUAAGAAACGGUCCCUUGUGCGUUUAACUCCCGUCUUUGCAGACAGACACACAUAGUUCUACUACAUACUCCCCCGGUUCCGUGAACACAAUAAACAGUUUCACACUGGGCCGGAGCUAUCGGACGGUAACUCUGAUCUUACCCUGGUGCAAGUCAAUGCGUUAUCUGAACUGAAUCCGUCCGAGGCCAUCGUCGUCCACUCGCUGCUGCUGCUGCCGUUGCCGCAGAAACUAGCCCGUCCCUGUCGAUGCAGUCAUCACCGGGGGCCGUCGUGGAUCACCACCGUUUGCGCGGUCAGGUUCGCGUAAUCUGACUCGUGAAUGGGGGAAAGAAAAAAAAGAAGCCGUCCGACUCCCCCCUGUCGAUGCCCAAGGGAAGGGAGCACAGCGUACGGGCCAAGUCGAUUCGUCGCUCGGCACGUCGUCACCCAGAAUCCCCAGGAUCUGACGCUCCGCUGGUUCCGCCGUGCUCGCCCCUCCGAAACGGCAAGCGUCCGGGUCGCCGGCGAUCGCUCCCUGUUCGGCUGUCGAACCAUUCGAUCGGAUACGGGUUGCCUGGAUUAAAUCGGGGCGACUGUUGUGACGGAGCCAUCGUACGGGCACGCGCAAUUAAAGCCGCCGGACGGACGGGGGUACCGCUGCCCCGCCGCGCCGCUACAGGCCUCGGAUGCCGGGGGCGGCGGCGACCACUUUGAGUCAUUCGCAAGGCUGCCUGAAGCUCCUCUCGUGUAUAUAGUCCAGCCCGAUCGAUCGGCCACGACCGACCGGUGCGCUGAACGGGCAGGCAGGCAGGCAGGCGAUCGGCGACGUCGCUGUCGCGGAUGGCUUGGCAAUCCAGCUUCCUCCCAACACCAUCGGCUUGAUUGAUUUUGUUUAAUUGCCGGGGGUCAUGUCACACCCGAUAUCUAUUUAUGGAACCCCGUGGCCACGACGGAUACGUGUACGCGCGCGACGCUGCUGGUCUGGUGCAUGCAUGGGUCAUGCGCGUGACGGCCGCGCUACUUGACCGUGUAGGCGUGUCGCAAAACGCAUGCAGCUUUCGCUGCAUCUGGCUGCGACCAACUCCUCUGUCUGGCUCUUGGGAGUCUUGGUAUUUGGUCUUGAGGCCGUGGCAGUGCUGUGACACCCGCUGCCUACUGUAGACUGUAUCUGACCACCAAACCGGCCCGCCGGGUCAAGUUUCCAUGCAUGGCAUCUGCCGACGAUGGAUGGCUAAGCAGGCAGGGCAGGCAGGGAGAGGAGGGGGUCAGAAGAGAAGAGAAGAGUUGGGACGUGCACGAGCGGAUUGCUGGUGCCCUUCAGGAGUUAUAGCGGUGGGCUUGACCUCCGUGGCUUGCGUUCAAAGUCAUGGGCCGGCCGAGCCGCUGUUUUGUUGGAGCUGCCUGCUAAUUAAUGGUCGACGCGACGGCAGCAGCCACCGUCGGUGUUAAAGGACGAUCGACCUCAAACUUAUCUUUCCUUUAUUAUUCAUUAUAUUAUUAAUUAAUAAUAGAUGGAAAUAUCGUAAGCUUGCCACGGAUACUACUCCAAACUGAAAGUGCUGUCACUUGUAUUCCCUACAUGAUUCUCAACUGAUAUGCGGGAAUAGUACGGAACAUGUACUGAUGCCCACGUUAACUAGCUAGGCUAGCAUGUGCAGAACAGGAGAGGAAUUGCGAGUCUGUAAGCUGAACUUACUGGCAAGCUAAUUGCCAUGUUACGACACAAAAACUUGCCACAGAUACUAGUUCCAAAAUAAAAAGUGCUGCUACAUACUGUAUGCCCUACAAGGAGGAGUAGUACUGAACAUGUACUGAUGUCCAGGUUAGCUUAGCUAGGCUCGCCUGUGCAGAACACAGGAGCGUAAUUGUGAGUCUGUAAGCUGAACUUACUGGCAAGCUAGUAACAGCCAUUAUCACGACACAAAAACUUGGAAUUUUAGUCCCAACGAGAUAAAUAUCACAUCAUUUACAAAAAAAGAGGGAGAGUGUUCAACAAAAUAUGAUGAGUGCACAUGCAUUGCUUCCUCGCAAAACAAAGAUAUGCGUUGGUUUCAAUAAUUAAUUAAUCGAGAAUAACUCCUUUAUUAUUAUUGUGCCCUUGACGUACACGUACGUAGUAUGAAUAUCUCCGAGUGGACUUUGAACACGGGUCUUCGCCGGAGAGUAUUCUUUUUGUUUGUGUGCCGGAGGAAAAGAGACGCAGACGUACGGGUAGAUGGGCUGGGCAGCAGGCAGCGAGCGAGCGAGGAUGCAAGUUGGUGCACACCUUGCGCUGUGCCUUUUAAUGCUUUUGACCUUCUAGUAGUCCGGUUCCGGUAGCUAUCAGCGCUAUUGGCCAUGUUGCUUGCGUCCCCGGUCUUCCAACCAUGUCGCUCCAUCAUCAUCGUCCAUCUCUUAUCUCCCACGGCCAGCUUUCCCCAUCUAUCACCACCACCGUCACUCCUGUAAUUCCUUCCAACACAGAGGUAAAUGGCUGAUAGACACCACCGCCGAUAGGUAAAUGGCUGAUAGACCGGCCAAAAAAAACGAAUCAUUCAUUCAAAAAUCAUAUUAAAAGUACCAUGACACCGUUCUUCAUCUUGAUCUAUUUCUCUUUAUUCCACAUUUUCCUUUCUUCCCCUUCCUGCGUACACCCUCUAAUUAUUAAUUACCUCCUGUUGUUUGACAUGCAAGGUGCUUUACAUUAAUUAUUGUGAUCUCCCUUAAUAUAUAGUAGUAGCUAGUAUACAGGAUCCAAAAUAAUUGUAUGCAGUCUCUCUCUGUAGUGUGUACAGCAUAUACAUGCACCAUUCAGAUAAACAGGAACAGGAGACAAUUAAGAUAAGUUGCUGUAAUUAAUUGCGCUCUCGGACCGCCAGUACAAAAGGUGUGUACGAACUGGAAGGAAUUGAACGAGCCAAAAGGCAUAAAUAAAGCUACAUGCAGGCAUGCAGCACAAGCUUAAAGCUACUCCACUUGACGAGAAUAUAUAUGUCAAGGUUGAUCUAUGAAUGGUCCAUCAGAUCCCUGAUGAGUGCUGCUACUGGUAAAACAAGGCAGCUAGAGAUGCAUAAGCAUAAUAAUUGUCCUGCUUGACGAGUUCCAGUCUCUCUGAAAGUACAAACGCAUGCACUGUGCGAGGCAUCUAGAGAGCUUUUGCCUCGCACCAAUUAAUGGCAUGGUCACCAAAGUAGAUUUGCUCUCGAUCAGGAGAGGAUGGGCUUUUAAUUAAAGAAAGGUGAAUUCUGUCACAUGCGUGUUUAUGUUACUCUGGUCUCCAUUGACGAAGUACAUUUAUAUCCAGAAGGAAUUAGAUACUCCUAUAAUAAAAUUGGUGAGUUAGAUAUCGCAAUCUCUCUCGCGCGGCUAGAGGGGAGAAGCAAUGGAUCUUGAAUAUUUUGGAAAUUUUGUGCUAAUAAUGCAGUAGUACUAUAUAUGUUUUGCAUUCACACUAUUAGAAAUUUAUCGCAAUUAGAUGGUUAUUAGUUUCUAUCGCAGUACUGUAUUCAUAAAACCUACAACUUCAGGAUUAUGCAUGUCUCUAGGCGUUUCGAUUUUAUGUCGCCGAGAUCGACAUAAAUAGUUUUAUAUGCUUCCCAGCUGGGCAAAUUAAAAUUAAAUAUUUUAAAGCUAUUGUAUUUGUUGUAAGGGAUGACAGGCAGGAAGUCAAUGUUAAGGAAAAAUGGAUAUGCAUGCGUUUUGGGGCAAAAUAGGCCAGCCUGUACGUUUGACCCACUCCAUGUACACCCAAAAUCUAUGCCGUCAUAUUUCAUGCUGAAUGUUUGACCGGUGCAAUUCCCUUAUUAUAUAUAAUAUAAUUCAGAUGCUCGACGAGCCUGCUUUAAUUUACACCAUAUAUAUAUACACACAACUUGUGAGCAUGCAUAAUAAGUGGCACAUCAUGGAACAGUAAGGAAAGUAUAGGGUCCAAAACAAAACCCCAAAUAAACAUCUCUAUAUAGAGGUCUCUCACACUAUUGUAGCCACAAUUCUGGCAAAACACAUUAACCGUGUUUGACACGAUCGGUCGAUCGAUGAUCUCGAUCUGGCGCGCUAGCUUGUUGAAAUGUACGUGCAGCAUGUGCGUCCAAAUCCUUGAUCAAAAUCAAUCAUAUACGCUCCACACACGGCCAUUCUAGUUCUAGGUAGGCAGGUUCACAUCACUAUAUGCAUGAGUAGUACUAGUACUAGCUCUUGGAACGACCUGACCAGGCCACUAUAGCAGUAUGUACGUGCAAGCACGAAAACAAGGAGCAAAAUGACGCCCACUGCUUUUCCAUAACUACUCUUUGUACCAACCACGCACGAACAGUCCCAUCAUGCAUGACAAUAUGUUAUUAGCUAGCAAACACAUGCAUGGUGGAACGAUCGAUCCAUGCAUACAUCAGUACGUGCAUCAUCUUGCUGCCAUCAUAUAUAUAUAUAUCAAGAAGAGAUUAAGGACGACAUAUCAUAUAUCCUGCUUCCUGCAGAAGCGAUUUUGAAGAAGAAAAUUGAAAAUAAAUUCUGUUCCAUGCAUGCAUGGCCCUCUGGUUUGAGCAAUGCAAUGAGGCUGACAAACAUGUGCACAUAUAUAGUAGUGUUGUAUUAAUGGAGAUGGACAGGAGGAGUGCGUGCAAAGAGGAGCUAGCAUAAAAUUAUCAUAGCUCAUGGCCAGUACUGCAGCAGAUAGAGUGCAAUGCAUGAGCUGAGGGGUUGAGUUGAUUAGGUACAUGUACAAGAACACCGCUAGUACUACCUGCAAGGACUAGCUACUAGAUCAUCAUCAUAAGAAACGGUACGAGACCCGGCCGGCGCCAGAAAACUCUGUAGCGGCAUGUGUCUCGCAGCACAGCAGUAUUAGGAAAAAACAAAUCAAGAACCGAUAUGAUCCAUCUAGAGGAGCAAAUCGGUGAAAAAAAAGGAAAAAUUAAAGAGGUUAAGGGCAUUAACAAGAACCAAAUUAAGUACUAUCUCUUUAUCUAAGUAGCUAGCUUCCUUCCUCAUUAGCUUGCUGCUUGUGGCGGUGAUGACCAAUUGAUCGAAUUCAGGGCUGGACGUUGCCGCCAUUGCCGUGGACGAAGGACGGCAGCAUGUCCUGCAGGAGCCCGAAGUCCUGCGCCAUGAAGUGCUGCAUCUGGAGCGAGGGAGGAGACGACGACGAGGUAGUGGUGGCGGCGGCCGUCGCUGCCGUCGCGCCUGCCACGGUGCUCAUCGGACCGCCGCCGCUCAUGCCGCGGGACGACGCGAGGCCUAUCGCCGGCGGCAUGGCGGCGUGGUUGUUGUUGCGCGGGGGCAGGAGCCCCAGCAUGUCGAUGACGCCUCCGCCUCCGCCGCCUGCCCGCCCGAACGGCGCGCCCGCCAUCUGCUGCGGGAGCGGGGCCGGCGGCGGGAAGGCGCCGCCGAGGUGGUGGUGGUGGUGGUGACCGCCGUGCAACUGCGCGGCGAGGAGGUGGGUGCUGCCGCGGAGCGUGGCCGGGAUCGGGUGCGUGUGCUUGCCCUCGUACGUGGUGAUCACCACCGCCGGGUCCUGGUACGACCGCUCCACCCGCUUCUUCACGGGGCACUUCUGCGUCGUGCACCGGUAGUAGCUCCUGCGCGCACGCGCCAUGCAUCACACCACGCGCGGUUGCACCAUUAGCUCAUGCAGACAUGGAUAAGGGAGAGAGGUGCGUGCAGUGCAGUGCGCAGUAGGGUAACUGUAUAUACUACUUGCUGUGCAUGUAUGUAUGUAUGUAUGCGUAGGAAGACUGGUACGUACCUGGGGUAUGGGCUGUUCUUGACGGCCUUCUGGCCGUACUUGCGCCACCGGUAGCCGUCCUCGAGGUGGUCGACCUCGCUCUUGGUCAUGAAGGCGAAGCGCGGCUGCCGCUGCCGCUUCUCGCCCUUGCCCUUGCCCUUCGCCGCCGCCGGUGACCUGCAACAAUUCAAGAGCCGGCGUGGGCAUCGAUCUCAUCAGUUCGUCUUCCCGUACGUCCACCGGACAGCUAGCCGGCCGGGUCAGCGGAAAGUGAUGCAGAUUUCGUUCAAACUAAGAUACGAUACGCGAGGUGCGUGGCCGGCCGCGCGGCUGGGCUGGGAUGGGAUGAUGGGAUCCCGUUCAAACGCGGUGGUUGGCUGGGUGUAGUGCGAAUAAUCAGCUAGACUAGAGUCGUAAGCACAUGGUUUUAACAGGUUCACACACUGCCUGCUGUGGCUGUGCUGUGUGCACACACCCCUUUUCUGCUGUGCCGGCAGAUUUGUACCAAAAUUUGUGCCAUAUGCUGCUAGAUUGCCUGCAUCAGAAAGGGGGCUGUAACAAAUCCCUAUAGAGAGGGGAGGAAUAUCUCUUGGUCUGCAAGGGGGGCUAUAGCUUUUAGGCCGGGCCAUUCUCAUCUCAAGAGAUCUUUGGGUUUUUUUUUUUUUUUUUUGGGGGGGGGGUAUGAUCUUGGUAAAAGGGGGGUGAAGUGGUGAACCAAAAGAGUAAAAGGAACAAAAAGAAAACAUGUAUAGAAUCAGCUGAGGAUGCAAAUCUUGGCCAAAUGGAAGAAGAUGCAUGUUCAUGCUAGCUAGCGCGUAGCUAGCAUGAAAUCCAUAAAGCAAAAGGGGAACGGAAGAGGAGAGGAGGAUGCAACUAGCUAGAAGAUUAGGCUAUACAAUACACCGACCGACUUUUUCCGUGUUUGUUUUCUUGUGACAUGCGAGUGUGAAACCCUAGCCCAAGUUCACACCUUUGCCUUGCCGCUACCUUAUUUAUUUUUUAUUUUUAAAAAAAGAAGAACAAAUGGGGACAAGGAACAAGGAACAGAAGAGGAAUGAAUGACUGAUUGACCAGCAGGGGAAUGGAAGGAAGCAGAAUCCAAGACACAGAAACUGACGCCUGAUCCAGGAUCACCCAAAAGAUCGAGCACUAUCUAGAUAGUCUCAUGAAAACCGAUGAUUAGCGGAAAGAUCUUUCAAGAAGUUGGAAAAAAAAGGAAGCAAAUAACACAGGAUUUUGGUCGAUGUCUAUAAUCUCGAGAAGAAUUCCAGGCCAAGCUCUACUCACCCUUUCUUGCCCUUGUCAGCGUCCUCCUCCCCCUUGUCGAGCGCCUUGCUCUCCUCCCCAUCCCCUUCCUCCUUCUUGCACCUCCCCUGAUGCGGCGAGUCCUCCUCCCCGGCACCACCAAAGCUUCCUCCUCCUCCUCCUCCGGCGGCGCCGCCACCCGCCGCCUCGCUAGACGAGGAGGACAUGGACGACGUCGUGUUGGGCGUGACCGGCGCCGUGCCGCCCCCGCUGGGCGUGGGCGCGGCGAAGCCUAAGCCUCCCCCUCCCCCGCCUGUGUCCACCACCAGCAGCUCCCUCUUGACGACGUCGUCCCCCGGCAGCGGCAGGUCCAGCGCGCGGCACAGCAGGUCGUAGUCCAUCCCGCCCAUCCCUGGGACGCCCGCGCCGUGCAGGUAGUCCGCGAACCACGACGCCGGCGCCUGCUGCUGCUGCUGCUGCUGCUGCGCCAUCAUCAUCUCUCCCGGCGCCGCCGGCCGCUGCGCGAACAGCGACGCCAGCUCGUCGUGGAAGUGGAAGUCUCCCGACGACAUCGGCGCGCCGCUAGCUGCUGGGUGCUGCGACUGUGGUUUGCCUUGGCUUCUUGCCGCUUGGUGUGCUCACUUAUCAAGGGCGAGGGCGAGGGCGAGGGAGGGGAGAGAUCAAGACGGCCUGGGAAGCGAUCGAGAGCGUAUACGGCUAUAUGGUAGUGGGGGCGUAGUGAGGCAAGGGAACGAAAGGGAUGGCCGGGCGUGUUUUUGUGUACGUGGUGCGCGCGCGAAAGAGUGUGUGUAGGAAGAUGAUGCACAUACAGAUAUACUGCUAGAAGAUGGAGAUGGACGAUGGAUGGAUGGUUGGUUGGGUGGGAGGAUUUUUUGUUUUUCUCUCAUUCUCUCUUACCAGCAGCGCUGCUUUUGGGGUUGGCGUUUUAUUUAAUUGAUCCAGCUUUUUGUGACAGAAACUACUAGUAGGACUAAUUGAUUAGACCCAAACGACAUGUCCAUUUCCCGCCCCCUCCCCUGGAGUUAUGCGCUUGUUUCCAUCGCAAGAUACAACAAUUAUCAGUGGGUUAGACUUCACCCUCUUCUCUCUCUCUCCCUCUUUACUAUAGCCUAGAGUGCUAUAGACCAGACCAGCGAGCCGUGCUGGUAGUAAUAAUGCAGGAUUAGCAGGACAAAGCAACAGGAAUGGCGCGGUGGUCGACGGUCACGGGGACGGGGUGCAGCAGGCACGCAGUCGCAGGGUGAUCAGAUCAGUCACUGAGUCAGCGGUGCCCUACCGGUGGCAGCCGGUCACCCCGGGUCAAACCGCCGCGCCGCAGUCAGACGUUCCCACCCGACACGUGGCGGUGGCCUCAUUUUGACUGGGCCUACCCCGCGCGCCGCGUUGGCCCGCUGGCAGCCGGGGCCACCUCACCGCUGACGCCAGCCUGACGCCGCCCCCGGCACCGUCCCGUCCGAUCGCGAGCCGACGGCUGCUGAUGCCGGUGGCGGUCGUGGGAUGCGUGCCCGUGCCUGGAGUCGGGGACGGGCCGGCCGCGGUCGCGGUCGCAUGGCAGGGGCAGGGUCCGGUCCUCCGGCCGGUCAAGGCGUCUGGCCGGCGGGGCCCGCCGCGUUUCCAAUCCGGAGACGACUGUGCGUCGCGCUGCACGUCGCGGGGGCAUCGGGAAAAAGGCCGGAGCCGUUUCUGGAAGGGUUGGGGGGUACUACUGCUACUGCUAGAGCAGCUGAGCAGGAGCAGCAGCGAAUCCAAUCAUCAAAAAGGGGUCGCGGUGACAGGGGACCUAGGCUGUUUGGUCUGCCCCCAAUUCUUUCUGCGACCGAUCGGUUUUAUUACUUCGAGCACGAACAAUCAUGGAAAAGUGCGUGAGACGCAUAUCUGAAUCUGAGGUGCCGGUCCGGUUUUUUUUUCCUUCGUUUGUGUUUUGUUGCGGCCGCACAGCGGCAGCAUUCAAAUGUUUGGGCCUUGUUUAGUUCCAAAAUUUUUUUUAAAACAGGUACUGUAGCACUUUCGUUUGUUUGUGACAAAUAUUGUCCAAUCAUAGACUAACUGGGCUCAAAAGAUUCAUCUCAUCAAUUCCGACCAAACUAUGCAAUUAGUUUUUAUUUUCGUCUAUAUUUAAUAUUUCAUGCAUGUGUCUAAAGAUUCGAUGUGACGGGAAAUCUGAAAAAUUUUGCAAAAUUUUUUGGGAAGUAAACAAGGCCUUGGUGAAAUUGGUGAAUAGUGAAGUACGUAGAUGCUGUACGUGCGGUGCUAUUCUGGGAUAGAAAUUGCCUACCCCAUAAUGCUUUGGGGGCACUCGUUCGCGGAGGUGCUGCUUCCUGCAGGACUCAACUGUUCAGUUUCACCGAGGCUGGUUCGACCGAAUGAACAAACUGUUCAGUUUUACACAGGACCAACAUGUACUGUAUUGGCGAAUGUACGCGCACACAGAGUUACGCAUCAUACCGUAUACUGUACGUCCAUUGGUCCCUUACCAAUAUGAACUUCGGUAUAUGUUAUAUAAUUAAUCCGAGACAAAAGGUCACGUGUUACGGCGAAUCAAUCAGCUCGUGCAACGAUCGCCUCAUCAGCGGUGACGGGGAGCACGAGCGCGCACUGCCACCGGCAACUGACCCCACCCCAAAAAAAACGCAGGCGGCCGUACGUAGCUGUGCUGUGCACGCGGCGCUCAACGGUCCGUGUGGAUGGAAACUGAAAAGCGGAGCGUCGUCGUCGCAAGGCAUCGCACAUCGUAGCCUCGGCGUCCCAGAAAACAAAAACAAAACCGUGUCCUCUCCCACCAGCCGCGAAUUAUUAACAAAACGCUAGCUAGCUGCUAGCAGCGGCACCGGCGCGCAGCGUUCUGAAAGCGGCCGGUGCCGCGGAGCGUAACGUGGCGCGCGCCGCCCGCGUAUAUACUGCACAUGAUCUGAGCUCGGAUCGCGGUGUGAAAUCCCCGCGUCGUUCGUCGGACGGAUCACGCGCCCGCCGCCCGGUACCGGUACGUGCUGUGCUGUGCUGUGCUGUGCAUGCAGCUGCGGUUCCUGUUCACGGGGGAAGGUGGGACUGGGAGGUGGGCCGCGCGCGGCCGACCAGCGUACGUGCCGCCGGUUGCGGAUCUAGGGCAGGCGGGGGAGACUGGGAGAGGGCGGGCGCGGCUGGUGUGGAAUCGGUCCUCGGCCCGACUCGGCAGAGCGCGGCCUGCCGUGCCGCCCGCGUAGUACGUGGAGGUGGUGGUGGCCUGGCUGGCUGGCUGGCUGGCCUGCCUCUGGUGCCCGCGGAAGCAGCGGCGCGCUCGCAUUUAAGGCGCAGCGACAGGUGACGGGGGAGGGGAAGGGAAGGGAGGGUGGUUUGGUGGGUGCGCGCCUGCUUUUUGUCUCGGAAAGCCCGGUCCAGCCGGGGACGGCGACGUCCUGCCGCCGGUCGGUCCCUGGUCGGGGUCCAAGUCCAACCGUUAACAACGUACCCGACCCAUCCACUGCACAGACCACAGCGCUAGCUAGUAGGCUUGCUGUUGCGGCAGCGCCCACCCGCCCGCCCACUGCACGUCGUCGCUGAGGCGAUGACACAGCGAGCACGGCCUCGCCUUUUGUCCAUGUCGCCAUGCAUGCUUCGUUCGAUCUUCCUAAGGUCUCGCAUCCGGCCGGCAUCUCGUUUGAUGAUUAACCAUUCCACGUAGUAUAACCGCGGCUAUACUGACUGUGACUGACUGACUGCAGCCAGCAGCCGAUCCGUAGACCGGCCGAUCGAUCCACCGCCAACACGCUGCUACGUACCGACGUACGGCGGCCUGUUUCGUACGUAUUCAAUUCGUCGCUCAUCAGUUGGUCCAAUCGCGGUGUGGCACUUUUGUCUGUUUCCGACCACAACACCAACCGUACGUAUACUAUAUACGUGGUGAAAAUUCUUCAGGUUAUUGAUGGAUCUGAAUAUGCGUGUGACAUAUAAUCCGGCGAACUGAAUUUAUUUGACCGUACUGUAUAUACGAUCUACUACAUACACCACCAUACUAGUUCUCUAGUUGAUUAUAUAUAGUCGUCGCGCGAUUUGGUAUAUAGGAGAGUAUGUCAAUAUAUAUACUAUGAAGCACGCAGCUAUAUACUGUAGCCUGAUUAGUACUGUAGCUUAAUGAGAUGGGAGACCUAAUCGUUUGAAUUUAUCAGCAUGACUUAUCAACUAUUAUAUAAUAUUUUUUUUCUUAUAACAAAUCAGUAAACACUGCACUCGAAAUAACGCAUGACCUCUUUAGCAACCGCUGGCAAUGGAUGAGAGAAAAAUCAGAACCUAACAAAGCUUACCGGCUACCAAGCUACCUUAGCUAGACCAUACCAGCAGAUAGUAGUACUACCUGACUAGUAGCUACUAUACGUGUAGUUUCUGCCUUGGAAAGGCCAACACGAGUGCAGAGUUAGUAGUUUCUGCCUUGGGAAAGGCCAACACGAGUGCAGAGUUAGGUUCUCCUUACUAAAUUUUAGCUAAAUAAACUUUAGUCACUUUAGUAACUAAAGUUUCAAAUAUAUUGACUAAAAGGAGCUAAAUUAGUUUAGUUCUAUUAGUCAUUCAAAAGUAGCUAAAAUAAUUUUAGCUAAUUAAAAUUUAGCAAAAGAAACCAAACGGGAUCUUAGUCUCAAUCGGUACAAGUUUGGGACUAUGGGAAUCAAGCAGGGGGUUGAAACCCCUCUCGAGGAUCCUGGUCUAAACUGGGGUGCUUAGCCGACUAUUUAUAGCCUUCAGAUCGUCACGCCAUUAGAAAAGACCCGUGGUGACGUGGGACGAAGGACGGAGGAAGUGUGGUAUGGUAUCUAUUUCCUCUCGGUGCUAGCUGCAAAAUGUGACUCUCGAAUCACCAUUCAGCGUGCAUGGGGUCUCCAUUCCAUGCUGGUCCGGUCCAUGGAAAAAAGGCCUAGAGCCUGGCUGUUGCAUGACUGCAUGUAUGUAGCCUCUAUUUUGGACUUGGAACUUAAAGCUGCCGCUUGUUCCACCUAAGAAAAGUAGUAGCAGCAUGACGUAGCAGGGCCGCCACAGCUCCAAACCUUGGAUUUUGUCGUGAGUAGCUACAUGGUUUUUGUCCCAUUUUUUAGUCUUGGUUAGACUUUAUUUUGGCUUUAUUUAGUUUGUGAAAACUUUUAGGUUUAAAUAUUGUUGUAUAAUUAGUUAUUUUUUUAUUAUAUUUAAUGUUCCAUAUAUGUGUUUAAAGAUUUGAUGUGAUGAAGAAUCUUGAAAAUUUUGAGAACUAAACAAGGCCUUUGACACGAUGAUUUCGUCCGACCUUAAAACACAUGUUAAUUUAAACAUUUAAAUAUUUAAUCCAACAAAACAUUGUUUAUUAAUCACAAAUAAUGCUAAGAAUCAGGCCUUGUUUAGUUUUGAAAAAUUUUACAAAAAUUUUUAGAUUUCUUGUUACAUCAAAUCUUACGGUACAUGUAUGAAGCGUUAAAUAUAGAUAAAAAAUAAAUAACUAAUUGCACACCCUUUAAUUUGUGAGAUGAAUCUUUUAAGCCUAGUCAAUCAAUAAUUGGACAAUACUUGUCAAAUACAAAUAAAAAUAUUACGGUGUUUAUUUUGAAAAAAAAAUGGAACUAAACAAGGCCUUAUACAGUUGUAAACUAUAGGGAGGGAGCCGCAUUUAUGGCGGUUGGAGGCAUGUCGCUAUUAUCCGUUAGAUGCCUUGUUUAGUUUGCAAAAAAAUUUGUUUUUUGUCUACUGUAGCAUUUUAUUUUUAUUUGACAAACAUUGUCUAAUCACGGAGUAACUAUGCUCAAAAGAUUCAUCUCACAAAUUACAGGUAAACUGUGCAGUUAAUUUUUAUUUUCGUCUAUAUUUAAUGCUCUAUACAUGCGACCAAAGAUUCGAUGUGACGAGAAAUCUUGAAAAUUUUUGAAGGCCUAAAGUAACGGUGAAGAUCAGACCCAAGGUCAAAAUCGCAGAUCUGAAGCCACAGAAGCGAACAAGCGCCCACAUGAUACCGGACACGCUAUCUCCCGGGCCCCUAGCUACUAGAGUUUAUCAGCCGAUAUAUAAUCCAUUAGGAGCACAGCAAAAUCCGUCGUCAACGGGGCCGGAGAAGCAUAGGAAACCAAGGCCAACUGAUGCCAAUCAGCGUAUCCUAUGCUCCAUCGGCCUCAGACGACGACGCCCGGCUCCACAAGUUGGCCCGAGUUCAAACCCUUCUAGGUUUUGUGUGACAUGUGAGUGUGACUCAUGUUACUGUCUCCGCGACCUAAUCCGAUCCCUUCGUCGCACGGUCUGACUUGUUCCAAAGUCUCUUCCUCGUUCCAUCUUCUAGCUAGUUAUACGUACUUAUAGUAGUGUCUUAAACUUUAUUUAUUCCAUCUGUAGGUAUAUAUUAUAUCCUUGGAAGAAAAAUAGUCAUCGUCGAAUCUAAAGAACGUUAGAAAACGUCUGCUGCCCCGGCCCGCCGCCUGCUUUGUUAGAUGGAAGGAAGGCGCUUAGAAAUAGAAUAUGGCGUGGUCUCACCUGCUCCACCCACAUCGAUGAUGGAUCGUUGCUGGACCGGCCGGCCGGGCCGUCGCAUCACCGGUCUCGCGCGCGACUGCGGAGAAUAUAUAUAUAUAUAUAUAUAUAUAUAUAUAUAUAUAUGUAUGCGCGCGCGCGCGCAUUUGAAAAUGUGUACGCCGAGGAGACACGGCGGCGUACCGGGGGCGUACAGCGUCAGCUCGUACGAAAGAUUCCGGUACAGGAGUAGUAUGUGUAUACGGAGGAGGGGUGGGAGCGGCUGGUUUGUUUAAGGCCUUGUUUAGUUUUCAAAAAGAUUUGUAAUUUUUUUCCAGAUCCCUUGUCAUAUCGAAUUUUUAGACGUAUGCAUGAAGUAUUAAAUAUAGAUAAAAAUAAAAACUAAUUAUACAGUUUGAUCGGAAUUGACGAGACGAAUCUUUUGACUCUAGUUAGUCCAUGAUUGGACAAUAUUUGUCAAAUACAAACGAAAUUGAUAUUAUUCACAUUUUGCAAAAUAUUUUGCAACUAAACAAGUUCAUGCUCAUGCAGGGUUUCCACUCGUGUAGUCCAGUCGUGGUGGAACGUGGGAACAGGUAUUGUACGGUGCCUUAUUUGCUUUUCCGAGACGAUGUUUCGGCGCGUGUUGGGAAUCUCUCCCCAGCAUAUUCUGAUCUACUCCGGCCAAAAUGGCGCAGGGAGAUGAUUCAAAUUGUAGUGAUGGCGUAGCAAUAGCAACACGGACGUUUGCAGACGGUAUAUAGAGUCACGGUAAGGUACUCGAUCGAUCUAGCUUCACAAACGUGGUAUUUGUUGCUGCACCUGCGUCCUUUGUGCAAUCAUCGAGCUGCCCACCACGGAUUCCAUGCAUGACGAGAUCUCCUAUCUAGUCGGCCGGUCUGAUCCCAUGACCAGCGGAGGAUCCCCCGGCCGGCCGGCGCAGAUAGCAGCAGCGCCGAACCUUUUCGCCCCUACACUAUUCAGGCUUUGUUUAGUUCACCCCGAAAACCAAAAAAUUUUCAAAAUUCCCCGUCACAUCGAAUCUUGUAGCACAUGUAUGAAACAUUAAAUAUAGACGAAAAUAAAAACUAAUUACACAGUUUAGCUGUAAAUCACGAGACGAAUCUUUUGAUCCUAGUUAGUCCAUGAUUGAAUAAUAUUUGUCACAAACAAACGAAAGUGUUACAGUCCCGAAAACUUUUCACUUUUCGGAACUAAACAAGACCUCACCCAAAAACGUCCCUCUCGCCCGCCAUCGCUAUCGGUGAAUCCAUCCUUGAUCGAUCCCUCCAUCCCCCCGACGCGCGCGCGGCGGAUGGACCGCCCGCGGCCACGGACGCCCGUGCUGGUCCGCCGUCCGCGGUUCGCGCCGCAGACGCGCGCGAGCUCCUCCUCCCCACAUUGGCACGCUGCCUGCUCUCUCGAUCGCUCGCGCCAUCGAUCAUCGAUCGCCCACCCGAUCGAGGCACGCGCGCUCUCGCCGGGCGGCCGGCCGGCUGCUAGCUAGCGAGCUGACGUGCAGGGGGAUGCAAUGCAACGCAAGCGGCCGAUGAUUUGAUUUGGAUUCAUCGCCUCGCGCGCGCGAACACGUGCUUCCUCAUCCCCCGGACGACGGCGCCAAUAAUCCGCCGUCAAUUCAGCCUUGCACGGCUAGGCAGCCACCGACCGUGACAUGCGCCGAACCGUACCGCCCAAAAGUUACCUAUCACAUACUACGAUGGAUCAGUUCAUCCAUCUAUCGACUACUACUAACUAUAUAUCUACCAUCGCUAGAGCGAUAGAUGCUAGUAUAGCUGUAGAGAGUAGUGCAAAUAUCUCGAGAAGUCGAUAUUAAACUACACUUUAAUUAUGUGCACGAUGUUAACUUAACUGGCGCUAGUUAGAGCGAGCUAUCUACGCCCAGUCUCCAUCGGAAUGAGUAGCCGCCACCCAGGGCUGCUUGGAGUUGGAGAACAACUGCCCUUUUCUUCUGUGCUAGCUAGCUACUAGCUUUUCUUCUUUGAUUCUUUCACAUGUGAAAAGAGGUACGUGCACGCAACAUACGUUUGCCGAUUGCCGUGGCUGCCUAGCUACGAACGAAUGAGCAGCGAUGGAGUGGCUAGGUUGCCAAACACGCAUAUAGCUAGCUCUAGCUGUGUGCUGCCUGUCUGGUGGCGAUAGAUUCGGCCGGCAAAGUAUCCGCAAUCAACUCUAACGCUUGUACUUAUUCGGCUUAAUUAAGCUAGCGCAGCAAUAAAUCAAAGUGCCACUAUAUAUAUGAUCUAGUAUCUACUGUAUCCGAUAACUCGGCCCGUCACGUACAACUCCAUGUAUUACGACAUACCACAGCUAUAGACUACGUACACGCUGCUAGGAUAUCUUGUCUGGUUUAAGUUCGGUUCGGCAACUGGGCAGUGGAAGCUCAUCAGCUCUAGUUUACGAAGCGAAUAGAUCGUGGGAGGACUUGAAUUUGAUGCUUGAACGGCAUGAAACAAUCAGGAGUAGGACGUGGGAAUUGAAUAGUUUAUAAUGGGGCAUAUAUGGGCUUGACUUGAUCUGGUUAGACAGACUCUCAGACCUAACCGUAACACGUCGAUGGAGACAUGGAGAGGAGUCAAAUGCUGCUCUUGGACCGCCAACAUGUCCAAACUUGGACCACCAGUGACCUCGGCCUCCCGUCAGCGUGAUGCCAUCAUACACUUGUUUUUUUAACUGUAUGUAAACAGUACUCUCUCUUCCACAAAUUGAUCUAACUAUAGAAUUUGUAUAAGACAAAUUAGCAUAAUUUUGACUAAGUUUAUGGUUAUAUAUAUCUUCAACUAGGUUUACAAUGAUAUACUAAUAGUACACUUAUUUUGUAUUGUAAAUGUUAAUAAUUUUUAUAACUUUGUCAAAACUUAGACCGCUUGAACCUAUAAAAAGUGAGAGUUGCAUCCUUUUAUGGAUGCAGAGAGUAUGGUACGUGCACGAUUUCUUGUCUUUUCCAUUUAUCUAAAUGAUGAUUAUAUAUAUUAACGUAAUUUUUCAUGACAAACAUGGGAAGGAGCCCAAGCCAACUCGGUACAACAUUGUAGAUGUUGCUCCAGUAAAACACAUCAUAAAAUCUAUCUAUCAGUUUUUUUUUGUUUUGAAAGAAUCUAUCUAUCAGGAUUUUUUUCGCGUUGCCAAAUAUACUUGCUCUCACAAAAAUAAUUCUGAAACGUCUGCCAUCUUCUUUUUUUUUCGAAAAAAAACGUCUGCCAUCUUGAAUCUAUAUCCGUUCUCAGAGACAGAGACACUCCUGGUAGGCAUCGGCUGUGCAUCACCAACAGUGUUCAACGACAACGAUUAGUAACAACCAGGCAUUGGUCUCGCACUCUUACCUUGCUGCACACUCCUUUUCCAAUUAAGGCCUUGUUUAGUUCGCAAAAAUUUUUAAGAUUUCCCGUCACAUCGAAUCUUUGGUCGUAUGUAUGGAGCAUUAAAUAUAGAUAAAAAUAAAAACUAAUUGCACAGUUUAUCUGUAAUUUGUGAGAUGAAUCUUUUGAGCCUAAUUACUCCAUGAUUGGAUAGUGUUUGUCAAAUAAAAACAAAAGUGCUACAGUAGGCAAAAACUGAAAUUUUUGCGAACUAAACAAGGCCUAAACGAGCACGUUUUGAUCCCGCUCCCGUCAAAAGAAUCCAAAACCCUCCAAAUGCAGAAAACUGAAAUGUCUGGGUUUCGGCAUGCAUGCCUUUCGCUUUUCCGACUGGAUCGCGAUCACCCAGCCACCAAAUUGACCGGGCGGCAAUCCUGACCGUGGCCUUGCCCUGUAUGCUCACCAUUGCUCGGAUAAAAAAGGCCACAGGCAGGCAAAUAAAGCAAGAAAGGAGGGCAUGCAACCAUGCAAGUGGUGAGCUCUGAUGGGUCAGGGAGAGCUCUCGUUUCCAUGCCCUCCCACUCGGCCACUCAGAUUAAGAAUAACAUGGUGUGGAAAAAGGAUGGCCCAAUGGGCAACUUUCCUUUACGUUUUAUCCUGAAAGUGAUGUGAUCAUCAUCUGAGGUUGGGAGUUGGAGCUGGUGUUCCUGCAUCCCCUUUAGGCCCCAGCUUUUAGCAAAAGAAAUUGUCUGGAUCUCUCUCGAGCUUCCCGUUCAUACUACGUAUACUCCACAGUACAGUGGCGACGGAAAUUAACAUAGUAUUGCUUAGUGAUAUCACGAUGAUAUUAGUUGCCACGGACCAUGCAUGGUGAAAAUGCAUGUUUGAUUUGGUCAAACAAGUCAAGGGAACGUGCAUGGUCCAAGGCAGCAAAGGGCGAAUUCUGUGGCGACCCACAGCACCACUUGCUCAUUGUUUACUCGCCACCUUUGGACCAGCAGCCAAUGGACGGAGAAAGCUUUCAAUCAGGUUCAACGUCUUGUGAUCGGUCUGUCUCUCCUUUAAGAAACCCUCCGAUGGCAUGGCAGAUUGGCAUUUCAGUUACGACAGAUAGAUAUGGAAUCCACCGGCCAAUUGUUCAUCCUCUGUAUGAAGUACUUAAUCCCUCACUGUUUGCAUAGCUAAAUACUUCUACUCUUGUAGUAAUAAAUAAUACAUGAUACAAACCUCUGCUUUCUUCCUGUGAUAAGUACGCUGUAGAAAGGGAAUGCACCAAAGGUACUCGCAUCAUCACUUCAUCAGUUUUACAAAAGUGGCCAUGUUUAUCUAUACUCCUGGAAGAUGCGUCUUCUUGCCGUUUUUUCUAAUCUGAUUAAAAAAGGAAAAAUAAAACUUAUAUUCCUUCACCUGAGCCUUACAGGGCAAGAGUACUGAUAUUUGUCAAAGAUCAUUACAGGAGUGGACUGACCACUGACCAUAUGCUACGAGGGUUACUAUGGCCUUGUUAGUCGUGAAAAUUUUUAGGUUUGGCUACUGUAGUACUUUCGUUUUUAUUUGACAAAUAUUGUUCAAUUAUAGACUAACUAGGCUCAAAAGAUUUAUCUCGUAAAUUUACAUGUAAACUAUACAAUUAGUUAUCUUUUUUAUUUAUAUUUAAUACUUCAUACAUAUGCCAUAAGAUUUAAUGUAACAAGGAAUCUUGAAAAUUUUUGACAACUAAAUAAGACCUAUAUAUGCGUGGCAGGUGCAUGGUGUUAUUCCCAAAUACUAGUAUUUUUUUGGGCCCCUUUUGACUUGCACUCGUGACCAGUUGGGUAGAUCGAGGGGAGGCCCUCUUGUUUUCUAGUAGCAGUACUGUUCCUUCUCUCCUCUCCAGGUGGGCCGCAACGCGCAGAGAAUCUUCUCACAGAAAGUCGCGCUCAGGUUUGUUCACACCUUGCUCCAAUGAUCACCUGUGCGGAGCUCAGAAAGCUGGCACUAGGGCCUUCUUUAGUUCCCAACAAAAAAAUAAAAAACUUUUCAACAUUCUCUGUCACAUCGAAUCUUACGAUAUAUACAUAGAGCAUAGAUGAAAACAAAAACUAAUUGCACAAUUUACUUGCAAAUCGCGAGAUGAAUCUUUUAAGCCUAGUUACUCUAUGAUUGGACAAUGUUUGUCAAAUAAAAACGAAAAUACUACAGUAACGAAAUUAAAAAAAUUUGGCAACUAAACAAGGCCGAGAAUGCCGGCACAGUGACAGUUCUAAUGGCAUGGUGUGAAGUGACAAAACGUAGCAGAUCAUUGUUUGGACAAGUAAUUGUCCAGUUGUCGGAAAAAAAAUUGGGAUAUCGUAGCACUUUUGUUUGUUUUUAAUAAAUAUUAUUUAAUCAUAGAUUAAUUAAGUUUAAAAGAUUUAUGUUGUAAAUUACAGAUAAAUUAUGUAAUUAGUUUUUAUUUUCGUCAAUAUUUAAUGUUCCAUACAUACAUUUAAAGAUUUUGAUGUGAUGAAUUUUUUUUUUUUGGAUUUUGGGGACUUCCUUUGUAGUCCUUGUUUAGACCUUGUUUAGAUCACGCUAAAAUCCAAAAAAUUUUCAAGAUUUUUAAUCACAUCAAAUCUUGUGGCACAUGUAUAGACUACUAAAUAUCGACGAAAACAAAAACUAAUUAUAUAGUUUGUCUGUAAUUUACGAAACGAAUUUUUUGAGCCUACUUAGCCUAUAAUUGAAUAACAAUUAUCAAAUACAAACGAAAGAACUACAGCUUUUGAGAACUAAACAAGAACUACAAAGUAAGUCCCGAGCACCCCGCCAAAGUCCUGAUUCACACCCGCACAACGAGUAUUGAGGCCAUAUUUAAUUCCCAAAAGAUUUUGCAAAAAAAAUCAGAUUUCCAUUAAAAUCGAUUUUUGUGGCGCAUAUAUGGAGUAUUAAAUAUAGAUAAAAAUAAUAACUAAUUGCACAAUUUGCCUAUAAUUUACGAGACGAUUAUUUUGAGCCUAGUUAGUCCAUAAUUGGACAAUAUUUGAAAAAGUCAAACGAAAAUGCUAUGGUGCCCAUUUUGCAAAAAAUUUUGGAAGUAGGUCUUGUUUAGUUCCAAAAAAAUUUGCAAAACUUUUCAAAUUCUCGGUCAUAUCGAAUCUUGUGGCACAUGCAUGGAGCAUUAAAUAUAGAUAAAAAAAAUAACUAAUUGUACAGUUUAUCUGUAAUUUGCGAGACGAAUCUUUUGAGUCUAGUUAAUCUAUAAUUAGACAAUAUUUAUUAAAUACAAACGAAAGUGCUAUAGUGUCAAUUUUCCAAAAAAAUUUAAACUGAACAAGGCCUAACCAAGGGGUAGGGGUGCCCGUGCGUGUCUGACCUGACCUGCCCGAUCGAGCUGGAGAAGCAAAAGUGCAGCACUGCGCAGUCCCAGCGGCGCCUGACACGACGUGAAAGCGCGUGCCGCGGCGGCGCGGGGGUACAUGACGUGCCCGCCGCCGGUUGGGGCGGUGUGCUGUACUGCUGCUCGUGUUUGCCUUCUCCAACGUGGCAUGGCACGCUAGGCCAAAAAAUUUCGGAUUUCGCUACUGUAGCAUUUUCGUUUUUAUUUGACAAAUAUUAUCCAAUCAUAAACUAACUAGGAUCAAAAGAUUCGUCUCGUGAUUUACAGACAAACUGUGUAAUUAGUUUUUAUUUUCGUCUAUAUUUAAUGCUUCAUGCAUGUGCCGCAAGAUUCGAUGUGACGGGGAAUCUUGAAAACUUUUUGGAUUUCGGGGUGAACUAAACAAGGCCUAGGUGCUAUGGCUUUUGCUAUGCCUAUGCAUGCUACACGACGCCAGCCUGCGCGCGGGCAGGGGACAGAUGAGGCGAACAUGUCAAUAACCCCGCAAGCUAUCUAUCGGAUGGAUCUCGAUCUGGCCGGCGGUGGCCUGGUAGUGUAGCGUUUCUAGCUAUGCUGCGAUAGAUGCGGGAUAGAGAUGGUGCUGGCCCUGGCCUCCGCGUUGGUGCCUGCGCUCUACGCAUAUUUCGUGGUGGCAUGGUCUUGUUUACUUCCAUCAAAAAAACUCAAAACUUUUUCAAGAUUCUUCGUCACAUCGAAUCUUUAUACACAUACAUGGAAUAUUAAAUAUAGAUGAAAAUAAAAACUAAUUAUACAGUUUGGUCGGAAUCGACGAGACGAAUCUUUUGAGCCUAGUUAGUCCAUGAUUAGACAAUAGUUACCACAAAUAAACGAAAGUGCUACAGUGUCACCAAUUUUUUUUUUUGUUUCGCUUGUGCAUGUAUUGGUGUCUGCAGCCACAGUUGGAAAGCAAAUCCUGUUGAACCGUCCGAUCAACUAGUCGAAUCUACAACUGACGCAGUCGGUUGACCAUAUGUUAGCUACCACGAUCAGAUGGUUAUGACCACACCGCAAAGAGGAUCAAACGUCCAACUAGUUUAAUCCAAAGACCGGGUUGUAACCAGCAUUUUCAUUUUUGCAGGGUCUGUAAAUGGCAAGGCGCCUAGGCCAACGUAGAUGAGUAGCAAGAGCCGGCGGGGGGACCACGGGAACUGGGAGGCUGGAGGGUAGGAAGGCCGAGGUGAAUAACAGAGGCGUGGAGGACGAGAAUGGAGGCGGCCCAGGCCAGGCGGAGAGGGGGGACCAAGUGAGGUGCGCUCGCCGCCUCGCCGGUCGCCGUCAGAGCUGCGGAGCGAUGAACGAUGCCGUAGGCGCACAUGUGGCCCUAACUUCCUUCUUAGGCUGAAUUGAAGACCUACUCUUAGCGGUUUUUGGGUCGGCCCCGGGCUGUAGCCCCCAAGCCCAUGUCCGCCCCUGUGGUGGCCGAGGUCUGGAGCGUGGCGUCAUGUCCUCUGGCGGGACGGAGGCGCCGUGAGUUCCCUGUCGUGCGCCAACUUGCACGACUGCAGCCGACGCCCCAAGGCAAGUGCCCAGAGGCCUUCGUCGGUCCCUUUCGCGUCCCUCUCCGGCGAAGAGCACCGCCUGGUAUGCGCGCUCUUUUCUAUUCCUUUUGUGCUGCACGAAACCGGGCACUCGAACCCUAACCGAGCACCACCACUCCGCCCCCAAGGGCAGGUUGCCCGCGCCUAAUACUCUGAAUUUGGCAAGGGCGGGCCCAGGCCUAAGGCCAGUAGGGCCAUGGCCCUAGUCAUAGCCCAGAAAUUUAAAAAGUAACUCUUUAGUUUUGGCUAAAAAAAAAACUCAUUAGACCUACUUUGGCAGCCCAAUUUUUUGAAGGAUUCUGGCUUUUUUUCUCGGCCAGCCUCCCUAGACCAAAUUUAUGCGCACAGCCCACCAACACGACAAUUCCAGCCCGUUUUCCAGGAUUUCCGCGUUAAGCAAAAGACUAGGGUGGGCCAAGAGAAAAACAAGUCGCUCAGGCUCAGCUCAGCCACCGAGCCAAGCGCGGACGGCGGACGCGCCCACGCCGCCGCACGCCUCUCCUCCGAUCUCGCGGCUCCGCUCCUGCCUCCUGCUUCCGGCGACCGGCGUCCCGCCUCCGGCCUCCCUCAUCUUGCUCGGCGCCUCCCCUGCUGCUCGCAGCCUCGCGCCCUCGCCUCUGGCCAGGCCCCUGCUGCCUCGACCCCAGUCCCCAGGGCCGACCGCGUCCUCGCCCCAGGGCGGCAGGGCCGACCGGCGACCGCGUCCUCACCCAGACCCAGACGCGCUCGCGGCUCGGGCCUCGGCUGCCGGAGUGCCGGCAGAGGCGCAGAGCUCGGAGGCCAGACGUGCCCGCCCGGGUCUGUCCGCCUUCGGCCUGUCCCUGCGUGGGCGUGGCUGUGAAGCCGCCAGGGGCAGGGGAUUCUGUGAACGUGAAGGUAUGUAUUUCUUCAAGUUUUCAGUAGUUCAGUUAUUCUUUUUCUCUUGAUUUCAACUGCUAUAUAGUUCAAGAAUUUCUCUGGAUUUGCAAACAUUGCGGUUCCAAUCUGCUUUGUAGUUUGUAGUUCGUACGGGAGCACAAGCAGAGGCGACCACUAUUUGCUACCUGCUUGGGGAGGAUUGUGUGAUGGAUGUUCACGGAGAGGCGGAUGAUGUGGCCAUGGAGGUGGAGGCCGAGGCCAGCCCGUGCAGGGGGCACUCCUCUCCUGUGAUUUCAGGGUCACCAUCCCAGAAUUCUGAUAGAAGCAUGUCCUCGUGGCGGCUGGGCCUCAAGAACAGCAUCCAGACUAACUUUGGAGAUGAUUAUGUCUUCCAAAUUGCUUCUUGGUAAGAGCCCCGUGCUCCCCUGUCUUGUCAUUUAGAUUGAGAUUUUUAUGUCGUCAAGAAUGGAUUAGGUAGGUUCACAUGAGCCAUUGGGGCCCAUUUAAGGUUGCAGAUAGAAUCCUACUUAACAGUCUGUGUAUCACGCAUGGUUAUAGGGUGUUUGGUAAGUUUGAGGAACGGAGUAGUCCAUCAUCUUUUCACUCACUUUUUUGUUUGGUUUGUGAAAUGGAAUGGGUUGAUCCAUGAUCCAUCAUCACUUCGUUCCUCAAAACCACAAGCUAAUAAUUAGUGUAAGCAUGAGGAGAUGGGAAAUGAAGUCACUUCACCAAAUUUGAGGGAUGGACUCAUGAUGCACCACCUCAUCUAGGAUGGGGUGAUUCCUCAAAGUAAACACCCUAUUAAUAGAAAUUCUGGCUCCUUCAAGGCUUCAACAGCCUUUACCAUGCAGCCUAUCCAUCUUUGAGAAAAGUUUUUCCUUAGUAAUACAUUUUAAGAAAAUCGCGAGUUUGCAACUAACAUUGUCAUACGCCUUCCCAAAAUCCAGUUUCAAAAUGAUACCCUGCUGUUUCCUGACCCUAAGUUCACAUAGGAAUUCAUGCAGAAUAAGAACUCCAUCCAACAUAUGAUGGCCCGGCAUGAAUGGUCUUUUAUUAGCUCGAGUUAUCUUUUCAUCCACUUUGGUCAAUCUGAUAGUUAACGUUUUGGUUAUAAUCUUAUACACCAUAUUCGAACAUUCAGUAGACAAAUUGGAUGUUGAUGACCUAUAUGGUUAUUGCCUGUAAUCGUCCGCUCCUAUUUUUAUUCACGUUUUUUAUUGUAUAACUGAUAUUAUCCGUGCUUCUAGUACUGAUGCUGAUGCCCUUUUGCUUCUUCGUGGAUAUAUCUGGUAACAAGCCAGGAGAUCUCAAGGCUUGCAGUUUCCUUGUCAACAAAUGCACUAAAGUUUUAUUCUCCGGAAACUGGACAGUAUCUAGGGGAAUGCAAAGGACACGAAGGAACAAUCCAUGAAAUCUCCUUCUCAGCUCCAUCAUCACCACAAGUAAUCUGUUCUUGUUCUUCUGAUGGAACUGUCAGAGCUUGGGAUACAAGAAGCUUUAAGCAGGUUAUUUUCUAAUACUUUAUGUUUGUUGAAUAUUCUUGUCAGCAUAUCAGUUUUCGUUGUAUGUGUGUAUGAUUGCUUAAUAAGACUACCACAUCUACAUAUUUGACAAAAAAAAAAGAUAAUCAUAUAUUCAUAUUACCCUACAGGCUAGAGGCGUAGAACAUCUGAACACUGUGACCAUGAUUGUGUGUCCCUGAAAUGGUUAUGUUAUUGCUCACGCUAAUGGAAAUUAGUCAAUAUUUCUGUUAUGUUCGAAUUUUUUCAUGUUCCUGUUAACAUAAUGGCUAUAUUUGUGUUCACUUCAUUUAGUCAUUUGUUCUACGUUUAGAUUAAUAUAUGCUGGCGUGUGCACUUUAUUGCUACUGCUUAUGCAUUCAUAUUGGAAUACUGCCCUACUCCUGCUUAAAACAGUUUUAGUGCCCUGACUAUUUCUUCUAUUCGCUUUGUAAAUUCUACUACCCAAACAAGUUCUGUUUUUUGAUUUCACGGUUGAUUUGUAGCAUUGAACCCAUUGAUCCCAGUUGAUGGAAAACUGAGUAUAUUUAUCCAUACUUUGUACCUACUUUUCUUUAUACUGGGCAAUUUGAAACUAUCUUCCCAUUCAAAAGAAAGAGAAAAAUUAGAGAAGUAAAUGGAAGUUCAACUCAAUAAUGUGAUGUCAUUUGUGGAUCGCCUUUGUGACUAUCAUUACAAUGAACUUAUGCAGUUUGCUGAACUUAGAUGACAUAGUUUUGUUACAACGUUAUGACAGUAUCAAUUCUUCAUUUCAAUAUAAAAAGUAUUAGUGCUGUUGAAUAUGAUUUAGAUUUUUAUCUAAUUAGCUACUAGCACUUCAUUAGAUGCCACAUGUGUCCUGUUGUCAAGAGUUUUACCAUUUCACAUGCAUUUCAGCAUUUGAUAUGCCAUUAAUGAUCAGUGUGCUGUAUGGCAGGUUUUUAUGUUUCUCUUUUUUUGUACCAGUAUAAGUAUGUAUGUUUGUGUAAAGUUCUGUAUGUUCUAAAUUCAACCGUUCACCAUCUCUAUAUGUUACCCAGAUAUCUUUGCUAAGAGGAGGCGCGUCACAAGAAAUGUUUACCUUCUCUUUUGGUGGAUCAAGUGGUAGCCUACUUGCUGCUGGCUCUAAUGCCCAGGUAACCGAGUAGACAUGUAAUAUUAGGGAAGACAUAGUUUAGGGUUUUCUUGUAUUCAUCACAGACCUGCAUUGUUCAUGUUUCUAUAGAUAUGUGCGCAAACUUUUCAUUUGUAUAACAAACCAGUACAACAAUGAUGGGUGGGCCUGCAGUCUUAAUCUCUCUUCAGUUCUGGCUUGGAGGUCCUGGGUUUGAACCAGCCUCCCUGUAGAAUUAUGCAAGGGUAAGGAUGUUUAGAAAUUCCACUCCCCAGACCCCACAUUUGUGUACUUGUGUGGGAGCUUUCAGCACUGCGUGCUUCUUAUUAAACCAGUACAACAACAAAAAUCUAAGAAAAAAUGUCGAUGUACUUUGGAAACUCAUGUCACUUGAUAUAAAUUUUGAAGUUCAAUUACUUCCCACAUUGAGGGUAGCCAAGAUGUGAUUUUUUAUCAAACAUUAAACAUAAAGCACGAGGGCCCACAUGUCCUGAAUUCUCGCAGUCUGGGCACUAAAAAAGGUUGGUGAUGACUGCGAACUCGUAUUGCUCGGUGUCAUUGUGGAUGGGGGCGCUUUUGUUGUCGAACACAUCGUCGUACUAGCCGACAGAGUCACAUUUGCAGGCUAGAGUGGCCUCGCAUUCGAGUGCAGUCACCUACUGGCAUUUGCACUCCAAGUGAUGGUGUGGCACGGGCUGCAACAUUGGCAAUGAUCGUGUGGGUUUCACAAUUGCGACCAACUGCUGCGUCGUGUUCGCGGGCAGCAGUUGCCUCAGUGUCAUCGUUGGGUUGGUGUUGGUGAUGAUGGCAUGACUGGCCAUGGUAGCCAGGGCAAGUGUGUUGGGGUCUAGGGGUUAUGGUGCGGAAGCAGUUUCUCACAGGAGACAAACAUUCGUGAUACCAUGAUAGCAUAGGAACUUCACAUGUAAUAGAUUGAUAAAUUAAACCGAUCAAGGGUUACAAACACCUACUAAGCCCACACAAGCUAAACAAAUCUCCCAUGAUUUAUGGAAUCAAUAUCAGAGAGCGAGAGAGAGAUGACCAAACAGGGAUUAAGGUAAGUAUGGCAGUAGCUCUUUUUUCUUGAUUUUCUAUUAUAUCAAUACACUAUCCAUAUCAUUAGUUUUCCUGAAGAGUUAAUCACAUGUCACUGAUAGUUUCCGUUAAGAUUCAUGAUCCCUAUGUAUAAACACUCGCAAUUAGUUUCUCUACUUUAUCCCACUAGGUUUUAAGUUAUCUGUAGUUUGUCCUGGAUUCUCUGCAUGUAUGGUACAAGUUAAGGCGUUUGGAUUCUCUUACCAAGGAAGGCAUUUUUGCUCUGGGAAUCCCAAUAUUCCCAAUGUUGCUAAUCUUAUAUUAUCCAAAAGUUAUUAUUCAUCGUCGUAGUAUAUAACUUAAAGUCAUUUGCUUCUGGUAUCUUCAGCUUGUAAACAUUUCCAAGCACGCACACAUGGUUGCUAGAAUUAAGCACUUUAGUUGCUCUGCUAUCUGCAUCUUUUGGCAUGGAGGUGUUGUAAUUUGGUUGAUAUGUUUUUUUUAACUUUUAAUUAAUACUGGAUCUCCUAAUCACUUCGUUGUAGGUUCUAUUCUGGGAUUGGAGAAGUUCAAAACAAAUUGCAUGCUUAGAGGAAUCCCACAUGGAUGAUGUGACACAAGUACGUAUUAUUCUUGUUGAUCCAAGUUUAUUUGCAUUUUUUCAUUGAACAAAUUGAAAAGAAAUUCUCUCAACCCAAAGAAUUAUAUCAUAGUAUUUGUACUUGUAUUAAAUAAUGUGGUUCCCUCAGUAUUUUUUGUUCAUACUAAGAACUGUUAGUAUUAUGACACUAAUAGUCAAUGUGAAGCUGGAUACAAACGAUCAUUUGUAGAGCAUGACACAUGCUGAACAAAAGCUCUUUUUCAGACUAAUCAGUUUAUAUGAAGGUUUAGCAGAAGAUAUUGGCACCAAAAUUAACUUAUAUAUAUUUUUUUUUAAAAAAUCAUGUGUCCUUGCAGUGUUGUUGUUUUAUUUUUCUUUUUUAAAAACAGUUAUUAUUGUCCUAAGAUUUUAAAAACUUAUAUGUUCUUGUAACAUGCACAGUGUAUUUAAAGAGAAGAUUGUGUCAGUUCUUUAAAGAUAAUCACACAAUCUGCUUUUGCCCCUUAAGCACUAUACACUUCAUCAAUAUGCUGUUAUUAUAUUACAUCUACUUUUGCAUUGACUCAAUUUAUACCGUGCACACAAGGCUCUUGCAACUCCUAGUGUGGAUGAUUUAUAUUUAUUUUUUGUUCGGCAGGUCAAAUUCGCACCACAUCAACAAAGUAAACUCAUUUCUGCGGCAGUUGAUGGAUUAAUAUGUGUUUUUGACACUGAUGGUGAAAUUGACGAGGACAAUCAUCUGCUAUCUGUAUGCAUAUACUCAAUAGUUCUCUACUGUUGUAUCUUAAAUACUUUGUCAUCUUUAACUUGUCAAAAAAAUUGAAGUCUUCAAUCUUCUGUACUUGUUAUUAUAGUUAGUAGUGACCUAUUCCAUAGAGCUUCGAGCAAUAUUCCUUGUGGUCCUCUAUAUCAAUGUUAUUAUGCUGUUGAAUUUUUAUAGUGGUCCUGUGUUCAUUAAAAACUAAUUCAUUAAACAACUGAUACAACUAUUUGUAGCUGGUUCUCUUUCUAGCUAGUUUGUUGGCAAGUAAACUUGUGCUAAAUGCUAAUUCAGGUGUUAUACAAGAUUUUGCUUUUAGGUUAUCUUGUUGUGACAGUUUUUCUCUCUCCAUAAUUUGUAUCAAUUUUUGGUGUUUGCUCUCUGAUAAUUGAUCUCCCAUAGGUUAUGAAUGCGGAAACAUCUGUUGCCAAAGUGGGUUUUUUUGGGAAUACAUAUCAGAAGCUUUGGUGUUUAACCCAUAUUGAGACAUUAAGGUAGCUUCUUUGUGCAUAGUUACAUUUUUAUUUUAUUACCCCAUUUGGAGAGCUCCAGCUCUCAGCACCAUGUCAAAUUUGGAAUUUGUAACUUAAAAUAAAGUGUCCUCGAUAACUUGAUUUGGGUGCUUGUUUCUUAAAGAAAACCCAUUUUCCUAGUUCCUCCUAGUUUGGAUCUCGUUUUUGCAAACUGAGCCAGCCUGGUGGUAAGAGUGCCUGCUAUGCCCUCACCAAACUGGGCUUUGAACCGUGGUGUCAUACCUUUCUCGUUGCAUUAAGAGAAGGAGAGUUAGGCCAAAAUAGCUAAACACAGCGUACAACACAUAGUCACAUACCCACACACGCUACAUCACUUGCCCGUGGUCACCGGGCUAUACUUUUACAUUUUUCAUUUGCGUCAAAGACAUGUAAGUUACGACCCGCUAGACCAACUCCCAACUAUAGGACAGGGGGCCUAGAAGCGACCAACGCGCCAAGACCUUUCGCACCAGCCAGUAUCCAGAGUUCAGAUUCUUCAUGCACCAGAAUAAAUGUUCUGUUCACUCUAGGGAUGAUCCCAUUGAAUACCACGUCAUUCCUUGCUUUCCACAGGGUCCAUGCCCCUAAAACGACCAAAGGCAACAUAAAGGUAUGCAGUGCCUUUGUGUUUGGUUGUCCUGCAUAGGAAAGCUGGUAAAAUUGUGUUUGUUUAUUUACAUUUUAUUGCAUAUAGUCACCUUAUAUGUUCUAUUACAGGUCUCCUUUUUCUAGUAAAGGUACAGAAUGUGUAAAUAUUUCAUUUUUGUAUGCCCGUCGGCUUAUGCAAAUCUGCAUUUGUCUAAUUCGGAAAACACUUUUUCAAACCCCCCCCCCCCCCCCCCCCCCCGAAAAAUCUGGUGUACUAGUUAAUGCUGCAUUGGCCUGCUUUGAGCACUGUGCACAUGCCUGGAUACAUGCUAAUGCAGGCAACCAAUCAAAUCCUGAGAAUAUCAAAUAAUCCAAGUAUGAUAGCUUGGACAUUGGACAAUUACGUUGUUUUCCUUAACAUUCUUGCAGUGUCUGGGACUGGAUUGACGGGGCUAGAGAGUUGAAUAUAGAAGAUGCUCGUUCCUUGGCCACUGAUAGGUGGAACCUUGACCAUGUGAGUAUUCGUUAGGAUCUGUGAUGCUUGUAUUUGUUUUUGUACGUUUAUGAUAUUUGGCCUCACAUGGAGCUUUGAUGUAUGCUGAUGGACAGUUUCAUAUAUAAUUACUCUUUGCCAAAAUCUAGGUACUUUUGUACCUGUCUUAAGUCAAUAUUUUAGGUUUGGCCAAAUUUAUGGAGAAGGGUUUCAACAUCUACCACAUCAAAAGAGUAAAAUAUGAACAUUUUUCAUAGUGGACCUAAUGGUGCUCGAUUGAGAUCAUAAAUAUUAUUAUUCGUUUCUAUAAACUUGGUCAAACUUAGGAUAGUUUGACUUAUGAAAAACUAUAGUAUUUUUUUGGGGACGGAUGGAGUAUUGUAAAGCAUUUCUGGUAAUUAAAUAAAUUAUUAGUUUAUUUAGAGAUAAGCCCCCCCUGCUUUAUUUCAAUGUAAAACAAAGCCAACAGAUCCAGUUAUGUACAACAUAUUUGUUUCAAUGGCAAGGAGAGAAGCCAGUGAAUUUCGGAGACCAAAAUAAGGAAUCUCUUGAGAGACGAGUCUGGUUGUACUUCUAUAGUAAUGGCUAUUCAGCUUUAGAUAUCUGUUCCUGGGAUGAAACUUGUCCAGGGAAACUAUCUUGGGUUGUCUUAUUCAUGCAGAAUCAAUUCUUGUUUCUGAUUUUUUUUUCAUAUAAUCACAUCAUUUCUAUGUUUACUCUUGAACAAGGAUAUUCUUUUCUUUUCCGCCUUCUAUUGUCUCUUUUAUAUUUGGUAUCCCCCCCCCCCAUUUUCUCAAUUUCUACUACUAUUUUUAUAUGGCAGGUUGACUAUUUCGUUGACUGUCACUAUUCCAUGCCGGAUGACCGGCUAUGGUUGAUUGGUGGCACAGCUGCAGGGACGUUAGGUUACUUUCCUGUAAGAAAUGAUCACGCAGGAGCAAUAGGUUCAGCCGAAGCAAUCCUUGAAGGAGGCCAUACAGGAGUUGUUAGGUCCGUGUACCCCUCUGCAGGAAUCCAUGAGAGCCUUGGGCAAAACAGGGGCAUCUUUGGAUGGACAGGAGGUGAAGAUGGUCGUUUGUGCUGCUGGCGCUCUGAUGAAAUCGCAGAGAUAAACAAAUCUUGGAUCUCUAGUUCACUAGUGUGCAAGCAGCAAAAGAAAACCAAGAAUCGGCAUCAGCCCUACUAGCCGCUAUGGAUACCGUUUGUAACGUUUGGCACUGACAAGGGAAAGCCUGGCCUGUAUGUGCUGUGAGCAUGUUUAUCUUCUCUUUGAAUUAUAGGUCGUGAACUCGUGAUGAAACAUAUUUGAGUAUCCCCGCACCCGGAGUAAGUCCUGGGUGCAGUUUUGAUGUUGCUUAUUGUUUGAGAUUGCUACCCUAGUUCAGCAACUGAUUAUCAAUCUAGCCAAGAUUAUGUGUACGUGGUGCGCGCGCGAAAGAGUCUGUCUAGGCGUGUAGGAAGAUGGUGCACAUACAGAUAUACUGCUUGAAGAUGGAGAGAGAGAGAGAGAGGGAUGGUUGGGUGGGAGGAUUUUUUGUUUUUCUCUGAUCCUCUCUUAACAGCACCCUUUAAUUUGCGAGACGAAUCUUUUGAGCCUAGUUAGUCAAUGAUUAGACAAUACUUGUUAAAUACAAAUAAAAAUGUUAUAGUGCUCAUUUUGAAAAAAAUGGAACUAAACAAGGCCUUAUACUACGGCUGUGUUUAGUUGGUGUAGAAAAAAAAAAUUUGUGACACUGUAGCACUUUUGUUUGUUUGCGGUAAUUAUUGUCCAACCAUAGACUAGCUAGGCUUAAAAGAUCCAUCUCGUAAAUUUUGACUAAACUGUGCAAUUAGUUUUUAUUUUUGUCUAUAUUUAAUACUCCAUGCAUACGUCUAAAGAUUCGAUGUGACAGAGAAUUUUAAAUUUUUUUGCAUUUUUAGGGAGGAACUAAACAAGGGCUCAAUCAUCAGAAAUAGUAGUUGAUAUAAAUAAUUACAGAAUGUGUAUUGUUGCAGCAGGUUGAUACUGUUUGGUCAACAGUCCCUUGUGUACGUCUGUUUUGACCGUGACCGCACGCUGGGACCGCGUUCUUGGCUAGUGCAUGCCUGCAUUCAAGACCGCACGCUGGGACCUCUCAUCCCGGCGGCCAGCGGCCGCAGCUGCUCCGAGCACUACCAGCAGCGCCGUAGAAGAUGCCGCUGAGGUGCACCGCCACCACCUGCAGUAGAGGAAGGCCGCCUCGCACUAGCCCCGCUGCCGCGGCCUCACUCGCGCGCCGGUCGUGGUGGCCUGGGCGGACAACGCGCGUCUUCGCUGGACAACUGCGCCGUUUGCAGGCUUAUCCGUCCGAUCAGUAUCACACGGUGCAGAACGUCCCUUGGAGAAGAGGAAAGAAAAAUACCAGUAAAACCUCCUCGCCCCCACGGACCUGAGCCGCCUCCGCCGCCCUCGCGCCUCGCCGCCGGAGAAGCGCCGCUCGCUCAGGAGCCAUGGCACCGGAACCGGAGGAUGAGAUCAUGAACGAGAAGAACCCUCGCCCCUUGGACGAGGACGACAUCGCCCUCCUCAAAACAUAUGUGCGUGCCUCGACCCCCCGUUUGGAUCUCUCUGAUUUCGUGGAUCUAGGGUUCUUUGGUGAUUUGGACUUGGGGGCGGGGCUUCGGAUUGUGUCGGUUGUGGUUCGGGCUCGAGAUCGGUUUAGGGUACCAGAUUUAGGUCACCGUGUGUGAUUUGAGGGGGGAGAAAUUGCUGAUGUUUGCUGGAUGCUGUUGCAGGGGCUUGGGCCGUACUCGACCAGCAUAAAGAAGGUCGAGAAGGAGAUCAAGGAAAUGGCUAAGAAAAUCAAUGACCUUUGUGGUGAGUGAUAAUUUUGUUAUGACUUUUUUGGUGUGGCAUUGGAGAUGUAGGCCAGUUUGUUUCUGAGUUGGUCCUAAGGAUAAGUUUGAUCACUUUGUGGCGUUUUAUUCAUCUUCUAGCUUAGGCUGUUGGGUUAUUACACUGAGAAUUAUACUCUCUUGCCAACACUUGUUUCAGCUGGCUAUUAUUUACUUGCAGCUAAUAGGGAGUUUCAUUUAAUUGACGAUCUCAUCUCAUAUAUAGUUAUCCAAAUGGUUAAGAUGUAGUGAUGCAUUAUUUAGUGUGUUACACUUGAAACAUUCUAGUUUACUGAACAAGGGUAAAAAUCGAUGGGAACUGUUUCUUUAGUGAUGCCUCUGUAGUUCUGGCAUGGGGGUGCUGCUGCCUGCUAUAUACUACCCUGUACUCUAGAUAUUUGACAUGUUAUUUACUUAAUAGUGUAGUAAUGACAUGUUAUUAACUUAAUAAUGUAGUUAGAGGAAUUGGCUAUGAGACCACAUCUUAUGUCUGGUGUUUUCUAUUAUGUCUUAUUUCUGGCGUUUUCUAUUAUGUUCUAUGUUGUUCUGCAAUUCAGCAGCUUGUUUUAAUGUUAGCAAGCUCCUUUUGACCUGAGAUGUGCUCUUAUACUAAAUGCAGGGAUAAAGGAGUCUGAUACAGGGCUGGCUCCACCUAGCCAGUGGGAUUUGGUUUCAGAUAAACAGAUGAUGCAAGAAGAACAGCCAUUACAAGUAUAUUAACUGAACCUGAUAUUGUGUUACUUAGUAGUUUUUACAGAUUUGAAUUACGACCUACCAUGCAUGGUAGUUGGGCGCAAUAUCUUUUUGGUUUCAGUUUUACAUGUGCCAGCACACUAAUAACUUAUCUUUAUCUUCCUGCAGGUAGCAAGGUGUACAAAGAUUAUAAGCCCUAAUACGGAUGAUGCCAAAUAUGUUAUAAAUGUAAAACAAAUUGCAAAGGUAUGUCAUGCUUGCCAUUUUACUUCCAUCUCACGCCACCUAAAAACUGUACACCUUUUUCUUAUACCUUGUUUUGAAUCCUGCAGUUUGUGGUUGGACUGGGGGAUAAGGUCUCUCCAACUGAUAUCGAGGAAGGGAUGAGGGUCGGGUAUGCCAUCCUGUAUUUUUCAAAUUAAGUAUAUCAUAAGUCUUAAAGUGUCUUCUUCCUUUAGCAUAUCAUACUUGGUCAUUCAUUUCUACUACAGCACUAUGAUGCAUUUAUGUACUUGUGAUAAAUGUUUACAAAACUGGCCCAUCUUUCCAGUGGUUAUUUGUAAGAAAAUGAUAUGCCAUCAUCCAAGCUGUAUGUCUUAUGAGAAAAAUGCUUAUUGAUUUGAGUUAUUACUUAUUAAUAGGCUUAAAUAAGCAAUGGCCAUUCAUGUAGUGAUUGCCGUGUCCCUUGGAAAGAUGUUGUGAACUUUACAUGUUUGACAUAGAUGAGAAAGCAUUGCUUUGUUGAAUCAGCUGUCCUCCAUGACUAUGACUUGGUAGGUGCGUAGUGCUUUCUGAAAAGCAAUAUUGAAUCUAUUGUAUCUUUGUAUUUUAGCAAUCUUUGAAUACUGCUAUUGCGUUGGAAAUAAUUGUCAGCUGCAUAGAUUGGAUGCGAGUAUAAAACUCUGCCCUACGUAAUAUUAAGAGAUGAAAAGGUUGUUUAAUCUAAAAAUGAUCCUCUGCAUUUAUUUUAUUGCUGAAACAUGGACUCGCCUUUUCGUUAUUUCUCUAUGCGUUGUGCUAUUGUUCCUGAAUAAGUUGAAACUUUUUACCACCUAGUGAAAAAUUUGUGAUCUCACACCUGAUGCUUGUUGCAGUGUUGAUCGUAACAAGUACCAGAUUCAGAUCCCUCUUCCACCAAAAAUUGACCCAAGUGUUACCAUGAUGACUGUGGAGGAAAAGCCAGAUGUGACUUACAACGAUGUUGGUGGCUGCAAGGAGCAGAUUGAGAAGAUGCGUGAAGUAUGUGAUCCUUUUUCCUUGUUGUGAGCUGGCACAUACUUUGUCACAGUUAGUUAUGGACCUACUUUAUUUAAUCUUUCCUGUAUCAUUUUUGCAGGUUGUUGAACUUCCUAUGCUUCACCCAGAAAAGUUUGUCAAGCUUGGUAUUGACCCUCCUAAAGGCGUCCUUUGCUAUGGUCCACCUGGUACUGGCAAGACUCUUCUUGCAAGAGCUGUAGCAAAUCGGACUGAUGCUUGUUUCAUCCGUGUAAUUGGAAGUGAGCUAGUUCAGAAGUAUGUCGGAGAAGGUGCUCGGAUGGUCAGGGAACUGUUCCAGGUAUAUCUAGUGCUGUGAAUCCGUAAAUCCAGUUUUUUCUGUUGAACAUAUUUCUGAAACGAAUUCCUAUAUUGUAGAUGGCCCGCUCAAAGAAAGCAUGCAUUGUUUUCUUCGAUGAAGUUGAUGCUAUUGGUGGUGCUCGUUUUGAUGAUGGGGUCGGUGGUGACAAUGAGGUGCAGCGAACAAUGUUGGAAAUAGUAAACCAGCUUGAUGGGUUUGAUGCAAGAGGGAACAUCAAAGUCCUCAUGGCCACUAAUAGGUAUUUCAUUUUUUCAUUCUACUCUCAUGUGAUUACAGUUCCUUUUAGGUGAUUACCUCGUACUCUAUUCUGAAGAUAUUAUCUGAAGAAACAUAGGAUUUUGAAUAUGCAAAGUUAUGCAUAAAAACCUAUUGUUUAUAGGCUCCAUGCCUUAAACUGACAUGGCUGCAUGAAAAUUAUAGGCUCCAUGCCUUAAACUGACAUGGCUGCAUGAAAAUUAUAGGCUCCAUGCCUUAAACUGACAUGGCUGCAUGAAUAUGUAUUGUUUAUGAUGGCUAUAAAAAUUUUUGGCCAUAUCCCAGGCCUGAGAAGCUGACCACCUUCUCUGUUUUCUCCAGGCCUGAUACCUUGGAUCCUGCGCUUCUGCGUCCUGGUCGUCUGGACAGAAAGGUAGAAUUCGGGCUACCUGACCUGGAGGGCCGUACUCAAAUUUUCAAGAUCCAUACACGAACCAUGAACUGCGAGCGAGAUAUUCGUUUCGAGCUUCUGGCACGUCUCUGCCCCAACUCUACUGGUGAGUUGCUUUGUGGUUUCAUCAGAUUGUUUUCUGUUUGAUUUGAUUGUCUUACUUGAAGAUUUUACGAUAGAUGGUCAGGUUCUCACAUAGCCUUGCUUGUUACUCCAGGAGCGGAUAUAAGGAGCGUUUGCACAGAAGCUGGGAUGUAUGCCAUCCGUGCCCGCAGGAAAACGGUGACAGAAAAGGACUUCCUCGAUGCUGUCAAUAAGGUCAUCAAGGGCUACCAGAAAUUCAGUGCAACACCCAAGUAUAUGGUGUACAACUAGUCAGUGCGUCUUCAUGGGAUUUGUUGUUUUCAGAACUCUGGAUCUUUUUGAUGAUUGUAUCAUCAUGGGGAUUCUAUGCAAAGAUUGUUGUUUGUUUAGCAAAUUGGAUCCCCAGUGACUGUAACCUGUACCACAUGUUUUUAAGAUAAGGUUCUCCGCUCGGCGAUUCAUGUUGCUCGUGUUUAUGACUGAUGAUGUGCACAUGACGCAAAGUUCAUUCGGAGAACUCACGAAAUGUAAAUCUCAGGCAACGCAGGUGGUUGUUGCUCUGACGUCUCAUCUGGUUUAUGGUUUGCUGGUUGCUUUUGUGCAUCGUAAAGUCAGACCAUAUAAUGGAAGGGUGGUGCAUCCUGCGCCUCGAAAGAGCAAGCGAACUGAUCGGCAGUAUUUGAUAGGUGAUAGAAAAAGAGCAAGCGAACCGAUCGGCAUUUUUUGAUAGGUGAUAGGUCAUAUAUACAGAGGUUUCUUUGCCGGGCAUUAUUUGAUAGGUCAUAUAUACAGAGGUUUCUUUGACAUCUCUUACGACAGGUCAUAUACUAUGUACAAAAGAUAUAUGUACAUGUACCCAGCUAUAUCAUACAUUUCAGCCGUUUCACUGUAGGCGCUGCAACUUUCUUUGCACUUGUUGAACUGCUGGAAGCUGCUGCGGUUGCAAGUUUGCAACGCAGGCACGCAGCACAGCAACAGCAAGUUGAUCCAAACGGACAGUGACUUGCAACUUUCAAAUCUCCACUCUCUCAAUCAGCUUGAUGCCUGACGACUCCAAGAUCUCCAAUGCUUCACACACGCAAAUACACACAGAGUCAGCACAGUUGCACGUCAUGAUAAUUCCACAAGGAUUGGCAUGAAAACUAUGUAACACCUGGAAUGUAGAUCUCCGGUUGCAGAGGCCUGAUCACUCCUUUUGUCUGGACCUUAUUCUGUAGCAAUAGCUGCAAUAUAACAUGCGAGAGCAAAUGAACAUACAUUAAUUUCCAUUUUCCUUUUUGGCUUUUAUCCUUAUCAUUAUGCAAGUAUAAUUGUGGUUAGGUUUACUACCAGGGCCCCUAUUGCUGCAGGAAUACCAACGGUCAGGGCCAUGGCAGUGGUGGAUCUGCCAUUUUCAACCUUCCCAAACUCCAGUAGCGUCGCUUGGUGCUUUUCGGUGGGUUGCCCAUCUAGGUAUUCCACCUCGACUUCAUGGUGGAGCAGUACCAUGUCCUGAAUUUACAGGAGCUGCGUCUCAGCAAUGGUUAUCCGACGAAGGCUAUUGAUUCAAUUUAAUCCAUUUUGUGAACAUGAAAUAAAAACAGUAUGAAAAUGGUGGUAUACCAGAGUAAAGAAGUUUGGAUACACAUUAAUCAUUAAACUGGCAAUCUACUGCAAAUCUCCUAGGAAUCAAAAGUGCAUUUUUGUAUCUGAGUUUUGUCCCUGUCAAAUUUAUACAACUGAAGUGAUUAAGGCAACUACAAACAAUAAACUAGUAAGAGCAUCUCCAACCAUUAUGCAUUUGAAGUUAUGUAUUUUAGGCAAAUUGCAAACCCCCAAAUGAAAAUGGCAAGGCUAAAAUCGGGUGAUCUCCAACCGUUAUGCAAAAUGCUAAGUCCAUCAUCUUUUUUUCCGAAAAUUUUGUUUCGGGGCACUCCUUCCCGCGCGGCCAAUCGAUCCCGCGCCAAACAGCCCGCCGUCGUCUCCCGUUCACCAAUUCCCGCGCCAAACAGCCGCGCAGUACCGAUCGUGAGCUACGCAGUUCGUCGUUCCCAUUCGCAAUACCGAUUGCAGUACCGAUCUCCCGUUCCGUUGUGCGCUGCUUCGUCCAAACGCGCGCGCGAAGCUGGCGAAGGAGGACGCGCGAUGCUUCUCCUAUCGCGUGAAGUGGUAGCGGCGCGAAGAAAAACCGCGCGAAGGGAAGAAAAAAGCCCGCGAGGUGGAACCGAGAAUCUCGUGAUCUCUAUUUGCAUAGCCGGACUCCUUUGGCAUAUAUGCCAAGUUUCCCCCUCCAAAUGCAUAGCUAUGUAAAAUGCAAAGUCCAAAUGCAUAACGAUUGGAGGGGUUUUUUUUGGAGCUUUAUGCAUUUUGGUAAAUGCCAAGCCCAUUUGCAUAAUGGUUGGAGUUGCUCUAAGAUUGAGAUCAUUGCCUCUUUUCUGUUACAUUCCUGACUUCUUUUUAUGACAAUAUAAAUAUAAGGUUAAAUAUCUUAUGAUUUUAUAAAGAAAGAUCUGUACUACAGAUAUUUUAACAGCUACAUGCAACACAUGAAACAUAUGACAGGUGGUAAGAUAGUAUUAAGCCUCACUUGCUCAUUGUGGCCAUAGGCCAUCCUCUGUUCCAUUCGUUGGCAAAUCACAUCAAAUGCACUUGAAUAGCCCUUAGGAAUUUGAGUCUCUUCAUGUAGUCCCAAGAACCUGCUCGUGUAUUUUGUCAGUUCGAAAAUAAAAUACAACUACAGCAUUCAUGCUUCCUGUUUCUAUUAUCCCUAAAUCAUUUUUUUCCUGGGGAUUCUUUAACAUAUUAACUUGAUGGCAUUAUUUAUAUUGCACUACAACAGUUAAAAAAAAGAUGUGAAUUUUGUAGUACAGGAUCAGGAUUAACUUGAUGGUUUUGACUGUCUUAGCAGCUAUUUCCUUAUCUUUGCAACACCUGAGCUUCGACAGUCUGGCAAUCAUUUCAUCGUCAUAUCCACCAGAGGCUUCAAUAUCAAAGUCUGUGUUAGUCGUUGUGAUAUUAUUAAGUAGUUCAUCAAGGAAACCCUUAUAUGUUGGGCGAUUAGUAUCUUGCAGCAGUGGAUGAUUUGCAGCAUCAAAGAAACCAAUUUUCGACAGGGUUGCCAUUAUCUCACUAAAACCUGCACAUGUGCAGCAAAAUGUGCAUCAAAGAAACCAAUUUUCGACAGGGUUGCCAUUAUUCUUUUUUUUUCGCCUUCUAUUGUCUCUUUUAUAUUUGGUAUUUUCCCCCCAUUUUCUCAAUUUCUACUAUUUUCAUAUGGCAGGUUGACUAUUUCGUUGACUGUCACUAUUCCAUGCCGGAUGACCGGCUAUGGUUGAUUGGUGGCACAGCUGCAGGGACGUUAGGUUACUUUCCUGUAAGAAAUGAUCACGCAGGAGCAAUAGGUUCAGCCGAAGCAAUCCUUGAAGGAGGCCAUACAGGAGUUGUUAGGUCCGUGUACCCCUCUGCAGGAAUCCAUGAGAGCCUUGGGCAAAACAGGGGCAUCUUUGGAUGGACAGGAGGUGAAGAUGGUCGUUUGUGCUGCUGGCGCUCUGAUGAAAUCGCAGAGAUAAACAAAUCUUGGAUCUCUAGUUCACUAGUGUGCAAGCAGCAAAAGAAAACCAAGAAUCGGCAUCAGCCCUACUAGCCGCUAUGGAUACCGUUUGUAACGUUUGACACUGACAAGGGAAAGCCUGGCCUGUAUGUGCUGUGAGCAUGUUUAUCUUCUCUUUGAAUUAUAGGUCGUGAACUCGUGAUGAAAACAUAUUUGAGUAUCCCCGCACCCGGAGUAAGUCGUGGGUGCAGUUUUGAUGUUGCUUAUUGUUUGAGAUUGCUACCCUAGUUCAGCAACUGAUUAUCAAUCUAGCCAAG
RNAcentral lists this long non-coding RNA (44018 nucleotides) under Sorghum bicolor (sorghum). Its description in RNAcentral is "long non-coding RNA (SBIC_LNC005603)". Lineage: Eukaryota; Viridiplantae; Streptophyta; Magnoliopsida; Poales; Poaceae. The record is from RNAcentral.